Molecule: transfer RNA, 61 nt
Filed under: Helianthus annuus (common sunflower)
Lineage: Eukaryota; Viridiplantae; Streptophyta; Magnoliopsida; Asterales; Asteraceae
Rfam family: tRNA
About the family: Transfer RNA (tRNA) molecules are approximately 80 nucleotides in length. Their secondary structure includes four short double-helical elements and three loops (D, anti-codon, and T loops).
Source: RNAcentral
GGGUGUAUAGCUCAGUUGGUAGAGCAUUGGGCUUUUAACCUAAUGGUCGCAGGUUCUCCCU